AACGAACGCUGGCGGCAUGCCUAACACAUGCAAGUCGAACGAGACCUUCGGGUCUAGUGGCGCACGGGUGCGUAACGCGUGGGAAUCUGCCCUUGGGUUCGGAAUAACAGCGGAGAAAUUGCUGCUAAUACCGGAUGAUGACGUAAGUCCAAAGAUUUAUCGCCCAAGGAUGAGCCCGCGUAGGAUUAGCUAGUUGGUGAGGUAAAGGCUCACCAAGGCGACGAUCCUUAGCUGGUCUGAGAGGAUGAUCAGCCACACUGGGACUGAGACACGGGCCCAGACUCCUACGGGAGGCAGCAGUGGGGGAAUAUUAGGGA
This 317-nucleotide ribosomal RNA is filed under the name uncultured bacterium. RNAcentral's name for it is "bacterial SSU rRNA". It matches the Rfam family "Bacterial small subunit ribosomal RNA", at positions 29 to 370 of the family's 1533-position model. The record is from RNAcentral.